GACGAACGCUGGCGGCGUGCCUAAUACAUGCAAGUCGAACGCAGUGGGGACGGGUGAGUAACACGUGGGUAACCUCCCAUCAGAGGGGAUAACACUUGGAAACAGGUGCUAAACCGAUACUGAUGGAUGGACCCGCCGUGCAUUAGCUAGUUGGUGAGGUAACGGCUCACCAAGGCCACGAUGCAUAGCCGACCUGAGAGGGGGAACGGACAGACUGGGACUGGGACACGGCCAAGACUCCUAAGGUAGGCGACAGUAGGGAAUCUUCGGCAAUGGACGAAAGUCUGACCGAGCAACGCAGCGUGAGUGAAGAAGGUUUUCGGAUCGGAAAACUCUGUUGUUAGAGAAGCGGUAUCUAACCAGAAAGCCACGGCUAACUACGUGCCAGCAGCCGCGGUAAAUC
RNAcentral lists this ribosomal RNA (403 nucleotides) under uncultured bacterium. Its description in RNAcentral is "partial 16S ribosomal RNA". It matches the Rfam family "Bacterial small subunit ribosomal RNA", at positions 28 to 526 of the family's 1533-position model. The record is from RNAcentral.